Molecule: non-coding RNA, 46 nt
Organism: Schistosoma rodhaini
Lineage: Eukaryota; Metazoa; Platyhelminthes; Trematoda; Strigeidida; Schistosomatidae
Source: Rfam
GCACUGCUGAGGAGUCCCAUAAUAAGACGAAAUAGACGUCCAGUGC